RNAcentral lists this long non-coding RNA (270 nucleotides) under Medicago truncatula (barrel medic). RNAcentral's name for it is "long non-coding RNA (MTRU_LNC003391)". Lineage: Eukaryota; Viridiplantae; Streptophyta; Magnoliopsida; Fabales; Fabaceae. The record is from RNAcentral.
AACAUUAACAUAUAAUUUUUACAAAAGAAUGAAGUAACAUUUUGUCAAAAAAAAAAAAAAAAUAGAUGAAGUAACAUACCAACAAUAUAACAUUGACAUAUAAUUUUAACAAAAGAAUGAAGUAACACACGAUUGAUAAAAAUUAAUAUUUUUAAGGUGAAUAAGUGUGGUGUCUGAGGUUCGAAUUCCAACAUCUGUAUAUAUUUGGGACCACAUAUUUCAUUCUCUUUGAUAUGCAUUGAGAUUUGUUUUUGUCUACUACAUCUACAA